This 490-nucleotide ribosomal RNA is filed under the name uncultured bacterium. RNAcentral describes it as "partial 16S ribosomal RNA". It matches the Rfam family "Bacterial small subunit ribosomal RNA", at positions 30 to 507 of the family's 1533-position model. The record is from RNAcentral.
AUUGAACGCUGGCGGCAUGCCUUACACAUGCAAGUCGAACGGCAGCAUGAUCUAGCUUGCUAGAUUGAUGGCGAGUGGCGAACGGGUGAGUAAUACAUCGGAACGUGCCCUGUAGUGGGGGAUAACUAGUCGAAAGAUUAGCUAAUACCACAUACGACCUGAGGGUGAAAGUGGGGGACCGCAAGGCCUCAUGCUAUAGGAGCGGCCGAUGUCUGAUUAGCUAGUUGGUGAGGUAAAGGCUCACCAAGGCGACGAUCAGUAGCUGGUCUGAGAGGACGAUCAGCCACACUGGGACUGAGACACGGCCCAGACUCCUACGGGAGGCAGCAGUGGGGAAUUUUGGACAAUGGGCGAAAGCCUGAUCCAGCAAUGCCGCGUGUGUGAAGAAGGCCUUCGGGUUGUAAAGCACUUUUGUCCGGAAAGAAAUGGCUCUGGUUAAUACCUGGGGUCGAUGACGGUACCGGAAGAAUAAGGACCGGCUAACUACGUG